UGGGGAAUAUUGCGCAAUGGAGGCAACUCUGACGCAGCCAUGCCGCGUGUGUGAAGAAGGCCCUCGGGUUGUAAAGCACUUUCAAUUGGGAGAAAAAGCUUGUCGUUAAUAGCGGCAAGCCUUGAUGUUACCUUUAGAAGAAGCACCGGCUAACUCCGUGCCAGCAGCCGCGGUAAUACGGAGGGUGCGAGCGUUAAUCGGAAUUACUGGGCGUAAAGCGCGCGUAGGCGGUUGCUUAAGUCGGAUGUGAAAGCCCCGGGCUCAACCUGGGAACUGCAUUCGAUACUGGGCGACUAGAGUACGAGAGAGGGAGGUAGAAUUCCACGUGUAGCGGUGAAAUGCGUAGAUAUGUGGAGGAAUACCGGUGGCGAAGGCGGCCUCCUGGCUCGAUACUGACGCUGAGGUGCGAAAAGCGUGGGGAGCAAAACAGGAUUAGAUACCCUGGUAGUCCACGCCGUAAACGAUGAGUGCUAGAUGUUGGGAUUUUCGGAUUUCAGUGUCGCAGCUAACGCAUUAAGCACUCCGCCUGGGAGUACGGCCGCAAGGUUAAAA
This 552-nucleotide ribosomal RNA is filed under the name uncultured bacterium. RNAcentral describes it as "bacterial SSU rRNA". It matches the Rfam family "Bacterial small subunit ribosomal RNA", at positions 355 to 899 of the family's 1533-position model. The record is from RNAcentral.